Long non-coding RNA from Aphis gossypii (cotton aphid), 378 nucleotides. RefSeq lists it as uncharacterized. The record is from RefSeq and is a predicted model, not a curated record. NCBI's taxonomy places the organism in Eukaryota, Metazoa, Arthropoda, Insecta, Hemiptera, Aphididae. The transcript has 2 exons.
GUGAAAGUGACAAUAUUUAGCGAUUUUGAAGAUCGAAACUAUGACAGAAUGACCAAAGAAUUAUCUUAUAGAAACAAAAUAUACUUUGUACACGCACAUUAAAAUGAUACAGGCUGUAUUAAACAAUUCGCUAUAUAUCAAUAUCAAUAUUUUAUAACGUACAUAAUCAAUGAAAUUAUAAGAUGUCAACAAUUUUACUUCCAUGUAAAUCAAAUGUUCUUAAGAAUAUGCAUAGUGUUAUCAAAUUAAACGAUUAUUCUAAUCCUUCUGCAAUACUGCAUAAUGUGUACGUGCUUAAGUACGUCUUUUAUUUUAUUGGUUUGAUUCAAAUUUAAAUGUUUUAAGUGUUUAUUUGUAAUAAACAUAUUAUCGGUCAAA